RNAcentral lists this ribosomal RNA (1439 nucleotides) under uncultured organism. Its description in RNAcentral is "SSU rRNA". It matches the Rfam family "Bacterial small subunit ribosomal RNA". The record is from RNAcentral.
AGGCUUAACACAUGCAAGUCGAGGGGCAUCAGGAAGAAAGCUUGCUUUCUUUGCUGGCGACCGGCGCACGGGUGAGUAACACGUAUCCAACCUGCCCUUUACUCGGGGAUAGCCUUUCGAAAGAAAGAUUAAUACCCGAUGGCAUAAUGAUUCCGCAUGGUUUCAUUAUUAAAGGAUUCCGGUAAAGGAUGGGGAUGCGUUCCAUUAGGUUGUUGGUGAGGUAACGGCUCACCAAGCCUUCGAUGGAUAGGGGUUCUGAGAGGAAGGUCCCCCACAUUGGAACUGAGACACGGUCCAAACUCCUACGGGAGGCAGCAGUGAGGAAUAUUGGUCAAUGGGCGCUAGCCUGAACCAGCCAAGUAGCGUGAAGGAUGAAGGCUCUAUGGGUCGUAAACUUCUUUUAUAUAAGAAUAAAGUGCAGUAUGUAUACUGUUUUGUAUGUAUUAUAUGAAUAAGGAUCGGCUAACUCCGUGCCAGCAGCCGCGGUAAUACGGAGGAUCCGAGCGUUAUCCGGAUUUAUUGGGUUUAAAGGGAGCGUAGGUGGACUGGUAAGUCAGUUGUGAAAGUUUGCGGCUCAACCGUAAAAUUGCAGUUGAUACUGUCAGUCUUGAGUACAGUAGAGGUGGGCGGAAUUCGUGGUGUAGCGGUGAAAUGCUUAGAUAUCACGAAGAACUCCGAUUGCGAAGGCAGCUCACUGGACUGCAACUGACACUGAUGCUCGAAAGUGUGGGUAUCAAACAGGAUUAGAUACCCUGGUAGUCCACACAGUAAACGAUGAAUACUCGCUGUUUGCGAUAUACAGUAAGCGGCCAAGCGAAAGCAUUAAGUAUUCCACCUGGGGAGUACGCCGGCAACGGUGAAACUCAAAGGAAUUGACGGGGGCCCGCACAAGCGGAGGAACAUGUGGUUUAAUUCGAUGAUACGCGAGGAACCUUACCCGGGCUUAAAUUGCAGUGGAAUGAUGUGGAAACAUGUCAGUGAGCAAUCACCGCUGUGAAGGUGCUGCAUGGUUGUCGUCAGCUCGUGCCGUGAGGUGUCGGCUUAAGUGCCGUAACGAGCGCAACCCUUAUCUUUAGUUACUAACAGGUCAUGCUGAGGACUCUAGAGAGACUGCCGUCGUAAGAUGUGAGGAAGGUGGGGAUGACGUCAAAUCAGCACGGCCCUUACGUCCGGGGCUACACACGUGUUACAAUGGGGGGUACAGAAGGCAGCUAGCGGGUGACCGUAUGCUAAUCCCAAAAUCCUCUCUCAGUUCGGAUCGAAGUCUGCAACCCGACUUCGUGAAGCUGGAUUCGCUAGUAAUCGCGCAUCAGCCACGGCGCGGUGAAUACGUUCCCGGGCCUUGUACACACCGCCCGUCAAGCCAUGGGAGCCGGGGGUACCUGAAGUACGUAACCGCAAGGAUCGUCCUAGGGUAAAACUGGUGACUGGGGCUAAGU